Molecule: non-coding RNA, 1703 nt
Organism: Cinara cedri
Lineage: Eukaryota; Metazoa; Arthropoda; Insecta; Hemiptera; Aphididae
Source: the annotation of a GenBank genome assembly
AUAAAUAAUAAUGAUUUACUAAUUGUAUUGUUGUAUGUCUACUAUAUAUAAAAAUAAUAUUAUUUUAAUAUUAUAGCACUUGCUAAUAUCGAUACGACAAGUAAGUACAGUUUGUAUAACUCUUACUUUUUAACGGAUGUCUUAGUAUUUUUAUUUAUAACAAAAAAACAAUAAAAAAUAAAAUGGCAGGUUAUAUUUUUUAAUUUUUUAAUCGAAAAUCUUUAUAAAGUUUUAAAUAUAAUAAUUUUCGGCAAUCUUAUUAUAGCAUUGUGCACUCUACAUUUCCAUCGAGCCUAUUUCUGCUUAAAUGAUAAAUAAUAUUUUAUUUAAAUAGAAAAAUAUCGAUUACCUAACUUUUAGGUAUUUAUUGCUUAUGGGUAGUAUUAUUAAAUGGUAUUAACUAUAUUAAAAGAGUAUAAAUACAUGAUUACAUUUUAUAGGUGACGCAUAUGAUUAUGUUGAGCAACUGAUGACUUUUGCGGAUUUCGAUGGUACUUUUACGUGAAUUAAUAAUAAUAAUAAUAAUUUUAGAAGACUAUUGUUUUUCUCACUUAAACUCUUAAAAGUUUUAUCGGACUCAAAAUGCUAAAAUAAUAAUGGUAAUAUAAUUGCUAUAAUCUGUAAUAGACUUACCUAAGUUAUAGCAACUUAAUAAUAAAAUAAUUUUUAGAUUCGGAGAAUAGCAAGUUAUCUAUUGGUUUUAAUUUGAUAUUGGGUUUUUUUUUUUUUUGUCAGCAAAGAACUUUUUGAAAAGAAAUCUCGCUCUUAUCUAUAGAAUACAGUACCUGAUCUGAAAAAAAAAUUGUUCAAGGGGUUUUUGAAAUAAUUGGGAAAACCCCGAAAAAAAUAGGGGAAACGGCAAAUACUUAAGGUCCAUGCACCACGUGAUCGAUUUAAAUAUUACUCCAAUCGAAAAAUGGAAGGAGAUCGAUUUUGUUCCUUUUAAUAUAUAGCAAUUUAAAAUAAGUCGUUUAAUAAUGAGUGUGGGUCUAUCAACUGACAACCAUUCGACCAACAGGAUGACCGACAAUAAUUUAUAAUGCCAUGCAAUUUAUAUUUUUAUUUUAAAAAUCGAUUUUAUCUAUCAAAGGAAAAUAUAAGAUUUCUAAUAGAAUAAUAUAUAAAGUAUUAAAUUAUAAUGAUACGAAAUUUAUGUUUUUAUUUUUAAUAUAGGUAUAUUGUAUAAAAAUAUAUUCUAUACUCCCUUAAAUACCGCCUCAGACCAAUUUACUUUUAGAAAUAAAACCUUGAAAAUCGGAGAAAAAUUUUUUGUUAGAAAAAUUUCUUAUAGAAAAAAAUGUAAAACCAAGACAUUUGUCGCAGUGCCCAUAAUCUUUAAAAUUCAAGAAUAACAAUUAUUGUAAUAAUUUUUUCAUAGAAUUCACUUAUUUUUAACUUUAGGAAGUUAUUUUAUUUAUAUUCUUAUUUUAUAUUAAUAUUCAGUAUCAAUAUUGGUAUAAUAUACUGUUACAUUAAUGCAUACAAUUAAAAUGUAAUUAAAUAUUCAAAUAAUUCUAUAUUCUUUUUUGUAGAGAAUAAUGUCGAAAAGUCACAUCCAAAACAAUUUUGUGAAAGACUGGAAGCGAAUAUUGACAAACCACUUUCAUCCAUACUCCCAGAUGAGAAACCUGAUAAAAUCUGACAAAAAAAAAUGUAUAUUGUAUGUUAAAUUUUAAUCUGCCUAUUUUUCUGUUAGUAGAUUA